GAUGAAGAACGUAGCGAAAUGCGAUAAGUAGUGUGAAUUGCAGAAUUCAGUGAAUCAUCGAAUCUUUGAACGCACAUUGCGCCCCUUUGUAUUCCAUGGGGCAUGCCUGUUCGAGCGUCAUUUGUACCUUCAAGCUUUGCUUGGUGUUGGGUGUUUGUCUCGCCUUUGCGUGUAGACUCGCCUUAAAAUAAUUGGCAGCCGGCGUAUUGAUUUCGGAGCGCAGUACAUCUCGCGCUUUGCACUCAUAACGACAGCGUCCAAAAGUACAUUUUACACUCUUGACCUCGGAUCAGGUAGGGAUACCCGCUGAACUUAAGCAUAUCAAUAAGCGGAGGA
RNAcentral lists this unclassified non-coding RNA (336 nucleotides) under soil metagenome. RNAcentral describes it as "partial contains 5.8S ribosomal RNA, internal transcribed spacer 2, and large subunit ribosomal RNA". The stretch from base 1 to 120 matches the Rfam family "5.8S ribosomal RNA", at positions 35 to 154 of the family's 154-position model. The record is from RNAcentral.